Molecule: long non-coding RNA, 685 nt
Organism: Varanus komodoensis (Komodo dragon)
Lineage: Eukaryota; Metazoa; Chordata; Lepidosauria; Squamata; Varanidae
Exons: 2
Source: RefSeq, a predicted model, not a curated record
ACGUGGGUGCGCACGCGCGUCUCUGCGCGCUGCUCCCGGAACCAGGAUUGCCAGGAAAACGAAACUCAGGCGUGGAAACGCAACUGCCGAGGAAGUCGGAGCGAUAGGCGAGCCGCUUGGGAAAACGCCAGGAGGAGAAAGACCCUCUGCAUCCUGAAGGCGAAAGAGAGGACUGAACCCCUGAGCCGUUGGAACGGAUUGUGCCACUGGGAGCACCAUGGAAAUCAUUGACAAGGACUUCGAGGAAAGACUUCUCAAGAUAACUAUGAUGGAUCUUGUGGCAAAGAAGACCGCUGUGGAAGAAGAAAACAAGAUGUCCCCAGCUCUAGCGGCCUGCUUCAGCCAUGCUGCAGAACUCCUGAGAAAGGAUCCAAACAUUUUCGGAGAAGUGCAACUGGUCCUCCAAGGCGGAGGAUCAUGUGUGAGUUUAGCUCCUGCUAAGUAUUUCGACAGGCGCAUUAUUUGGUAUGAUGACCAUUUGAAGGUUGUCCAGGAUGACCUGGAUGUCUGAUUAUCUCCAGCUGCUCCAGAUGUUUACUGAAUUGUAGCCGUUUUGCAUUGCUGAGUAGGCAUUGUUUGCAUUUUCCGUAAAGCAUUUCUGCUUAACAGCUGUGUGACUUUGUAAUACUCUUUGGAGUGAUAUUUCUUGUGCUGCAACAAAUAAAAUAAAGUGUCUUGUGGCCAC